This 262-nucleotide ribosomal RNA is filed under the name uncultured bacterium. RNAcentral's name for it is "partial 16S ribosomal RNA". It matches the Rfam family "Bacterial small subunit ribosomal RNA", at positions 524 to 779 of the family's 1533-position model. The record is from RNAcentral.
UACGGGGGGAGCAAGCGUUGUUCGGAUUUACUGGGCGUAAAGCGCACGUAGGCGGCUUUCUAAGUCAGGGGUGAAAUCCUGGAGCUCAACUCCAGAACUGCCUUUGAUACUGGGGAGCUCGAGUCCGGAAGAGGUGAGUGGAACUCCGAGUGUAGAGGUGAAAUUCGUAGAUAUUCGGAAGAAACACCGAGUGGCGAAGGCGGCUACACGUGGUCCGGUACGUGACGCUGAGGUGCGAAAAGCGUGGGGAGCAAACAGGGAU